Molecule: ribosomal RNA, 672 nt
Filed under: Pseudomonas sp.
Lineage: Bacteria; Pseudomonadati; Pseudomonadota; Gammaproteobacteria; Pseudomonadales; Pseudomonadaceae
Description: bacterial SSU rRNA
Rfam family: Bacterial small subunit ribosomal RNA
Source: RNAcentral
GUCGAGCGGAUGAGGGUAGCUUGCUACCUGAUUCAGCGGCGGACGGGUGAGUAAUGCCUAGGAAUCUGCCCGAUAGUGGGGGAUAACGUUCCGAAAGGAACGCUAAUACCGCAUACGUCCUACGGGAGAAAGCGGGGGAUCUUCGGACCUCGCGCUAUCGGAUGAGCCUAGGUCGGAUUAGCUAGUUGGUGAGGUAAAGGCUCACCAAGGCGACGAUCCGUAGCUGGUCUGAGAGGAUGAUCAGCCACACUGGAACUGAGACACGGUCCAGACUCCUACGGGAGGCAGCAGUGGGGAAUAUUGGACAAUGGGCGAAAGCCUGAUCCAGCCAUGCCGCGUGUGUGAAGAAGGUCUUCGGAUUGUAAAGCACUUUAAGUUGGGAGGAAGGGUUGUAACCUAAUACGUUGCAACUUUGACGUUACCGACAGAAUAAGCACCGGCUAACUUCGUGCCAGCAGCCGCGGUAAUACGAAGGGUGCAAGCGUUAAUCGGAAUUACUGGGCGUAAAGCGCGCGUAGGUGGUUUGAUAAGUUGGAUGUGAAAGCCCCGGGCUCAACCUGGGAAUUGCAUCCAAAACUGUCUGACUAGAGUACGGUAGAGGGUAGUGGAAUUUCCUGUGUAGCGGUGAAAUGCGUAGAUAUAGGAAGGAACACCAGUGGCGAAGGCGACUAC